UCCCUGGUGGCUCAGAUGGUUAAAGCGUCUGCCUGCAAUGCGGGAGACCUGGGUUUGAUCCCUGGGUUGGGAA
This 73-nucleotide transfer RNA is filed under the name Ovis aries (sheep). It matches the Rfam family "tRNA". From Rfam's summary of the family: Transfer RNA (tRNA) molecules are approximately 80 nucleotides in length. Their secondary structure includes four short double-helical elements and three loops (D, anti-codon, and T loops). Lineage: Eukaryota; Metazoa; Chordata; Mammalia; Artiodactyla; Bovidae. The record is from Rfam by way of RNAcentral.